CGGAGGGUGCGAGCGUUGUCCGGAAUCACUGGGCGUAAGGGGCGCGUAGGCGGCCUGAUAAGUAGGGGGUGAAAUCCUGCGGCUUAACCGCAGGGCUGCCUUCUAAACUGUCGGGCUUGAGCACAGUAGAGGCAGGUGGAAUUCCCGGUGUAGCGGUGGAAUGCGUAGAGAUCGGGAAGAACAUCAGUGGCGAAGGCGGCCUGCUGGGCUGUUGCUGACGCUGAGGCGCGACAGCGUGGGGAGCAGACAGGAUUAGAUACCCUGGUAGUCCACGCCGUAAACGAUGGGCACUAGGCGUCGGGGGGAGCGACCCUCCCGGCGCCGUCGCUAACGCAGUAAGUGCCCCGCCUGGGGAGUACGGCCGCAAGGCUG
Molecule: ribosomal RNA, 372 nt
Filed under: uncultured organism
Description: bacterial SSU rRNA
Rfam family: Bacterial small subunit ribosomal RNA
Source: RNAcentral